This 479-nucleotide ribosomal RNA is filed under the name Treponema sp. oral taxon 232. RNAcentral's name for it is "bacterial SSU rRNA". It matches the Rfam family "Bacterial small subunit ribosomal RNA", at positions 30 to 495 of the family's 1533-position model. Lineage: Bacteria; Pseudomonadati; Spirochaetota; Spirochaetia; Treponematales; Treponemataceae. The record is from RNAcentral.
AACGAACGCUGGCGGCGCGUCUUAAGCAUGCAAGUCGAACGGCAAGAGAGGAGCUUGCUUCUCUCCUAGAGUGGCGGACUGUGAGGACGCGUGGGUAAUCUACCCUUAAGAUGGGGAUAGCCGCUAGAAAUAGCGGGUAAUACCGAAUAGACUUAUAGCUGAGAAAGAAGUGAUAAGGAAAGGAAGCUAAGGCUUCGCUUAAGGAUGAGCCUGCGUCCCAUUAGCUAGUUGGUAAGGUAACGGCCUACCAAGGCGACGAUGGGUAUCCGGCCUGAGAGGGUGAACGGACACAUUGGGACUGAGAUACGGCCCAAAUCCUACGGGAGGCAGCAGCUAAGAAUAUUCCGCAAUGGACGGAAGUCUGACGGAGCGACGCCGCGUGGAUGAAGAAGGCUGAAAAGUUGUAAAUUCUUUUGCUGACGAAGAAUAAAGAUAAGAGGGAAUGCUUAUCAGAUGACGGUAGUCGCGAAUAAGCCCCG